UCAACCUCACAGAUGAAAGAUUUAUCAAUGGAUUUUGUCAAUAGAUGAAAAACUGGAUAUAUUACAAUGUAAACUGAGUGAGUUCAAAUCUGGUUUCAGAAAUUUACUACGUGUGUCACCAUAGGUAAAUUAUUUAAUUAUGUUAGCCUUAGUUUCCUCAUGUGUAAAAUGAGCUAGAGAAGGAAAUGGCAAAACAUUCUAAAUAUCUUUGUCAAGAAAACCCCAAAUGAGGUCAUGAACAGUCAGACACAUCUGAAAACAACUGAACAACAAAAAUACCAAGUGAGGGAAGACCUUCACCAAUAAGAUUACAAUUUUAUCUAAUAAUCAAAAUAGGAGACAUCAUCUGGAAAUAAGGUGUAUAAAAUCUAACACUGAUUUUAAUUUAAAUUUCUUUCCACUUUCAGAGGACCAAGGAAUAAGAAAGACAAAACAGACUUUCUUAACAUGGACAAUUUUAGUAUAUCUAGCCUAAUUAUGAACACUAUUGUGGAGUUAGAGGACAGAUCUGGACAAAAAGCCAUCAAGACCUAGAUUCGAAUCUUAUUUUGCCACUGUAUGACACCAGAAUAGUUGCUUCUAGGGUGAAAGUACUCAUGGGAAUCACCCAGAUGCCAGAUGCCACCAUAACCUCCCAGCCUGAUGCUCUGGAUAUGGCCUACAGUCAAUACCUCUCUCUCUCCUAAUGUUAGGCAGGGACAUCUCUACGCCCAUUCUCAGCUGUGAAGAAGUUACAGAAGACAGACUGCCUUCCCUUUUUCCCUUACAUAUUAGGAGAGGGGGAGAUGACAUGGGCACUGUACCCCAGAAACCCAGGCCAACUAUUAUCAGGGAAACUCCCUUGCCUUUGCAUCCUUAUAACUCUUAACCUAGAAACACCCAAUGACCUCACCCAGGCUCCUGAGAUGUUUACCCUCUUUUGCCCUCUACAUUUAAGAUGGACAAAGAAAUGAAUCUUUAUGCCUCCAGGCAGACCCCAAUCAGAUGACCACCUCACCCCACCAAAUGCCUGAGGGACCAACACUCUCCAAGUCAAGUCCACACCAGGACAUAGCAUCUAAAGAGUAUAUAAACCCCAGAACUGAUGUCGUCUGGGGGACAGUCUUUCCAUCCAUGCUGUCCCCAUGGGGGAACAGCCUUUCCUUCAUGCUGUCCUCCCAAGGAAUUGCUCCCCAUCUUGCUGUUCCACGUUGCUAUUCUCUUGGCCACUCUCAACAUUACUUUCUAAAUUAAUAAAUCUAUUUUUUUUUGUUUUUAAGCUAA
Molecule: non-coding RNA, 1263 nt
Organism: Monodelphis domestica (gray short-tailed opossum)
Lineage: Eukaryota; Metazoa; Chordata; Mammalia; Didelphimorphia; Didelphidae
Source: RefSeq, a predicted model, not a curated record